RNAcentral lists this ribosomal RNA (366 nucleotides) under Streptococcus gallolyticus. RNAcentral's name for it is "bacterial LSU rRNA". It matches the Rfam family "Bacterial large subunit ribosomal RNA", at positions 3 to 375 of the family's 2925-position model. Lineage: Bacteria; Bacillati; Bacillota; Bacilli; Lactobacillales; Streptococcaceae. The record is from RNAcentral.
UUAAGUUAAUAAGGGCGCACGGUGGAUGCCUUGGCACUAGAAGCCGAUGAAGGACGUGACUAACGACGAAAUGCUUUGGGGAGUUGUAAGUAAACAUUGAUCCAGAGAUGUCCGAAUGGGAGAACCCGGCAUGUGAUGCAUGUCACUCAUUACUGUUAAGGUAAUGAAGAGGAAGACGCAGUGAACUGAAACAUCUAAGUAGCUGCAGGAAGAGAAAGCAAACGCGAUUGCCUUAGUAGCGGCGAGCGAACUGGCAAGAGGGCAAACCGAUGUGUUUACACAUCGGGGUUGUAGGACUGCGUUGUGGGAAGUCAAGAUUAUAGAAGAAUUACCUGGGAAGGUAAGCCAAAGAGAGUAACAGCCUCG